AUUCGAUUAGAGUUUGAUCCUGGCUCAGGAUGAACGCUAGCGGCAGGCCUAAUACAUGCAAGUGGAAGGGUGUCUUCGGACAUAGUGGCGCACGGGUGCGUAACACGUAUGCAACCUACCUUACAUGGGGGGAUAGCCUUUCGAAAGGGAGAUUAAUACCGCAUAAGACAGUAGCUGGGCAUCCAGCAGCUGUUAAAGAUUUAUCGAUGUAAGCUGGGCAUGCGUCCAAUUAGCUAGUUGGUGAGGUAACGGCUCACCAAGGCAAUGAUUGGUAGGGGAACUGAGAGGUCAAUCCCCCACACUGGCACUGAGAUACGGGCCAGACUCCUACGGGAGGCAGCAGUAGGGAAUAUUGGGCAAUGGACGCAAGUCUGACCCAGCCAUGCCGCGUGCAGGAUGAAGGCGUUAUGCGUUGUAAACUGCUUUUAUACAGGAAGAAACGACUCUUGCGAGAGGCAUUGACGGUACUGUAUGAAUAAGCACCGGCUAACUCCGUGCCAGCAGCCGCGGUAAUACGGAGGGUGCAAGCGUUGUCCGGAUUUAUUGGGUUUAAAGGGUGCGCAGGUGGUUUAUUAAGUCAGUGGUGAAAGACGGUCGCUCAACGAUUGCAGUGCCAUUGAAACUGGUAGACUUGAGUAAAGUAGAGGUGGGCGGAAUUGAUAGUGUAGCGGUGAAAUGCAUAGAUAUUAUCAAGAACUCCAAUUGCGUAGGCAGCUCACUUGGCUUUUACUGACACUCAUGCACGAAAGUGUGGGUAUCAAACAGGAUUAGAUACCCUGGUAGUCCACACUGUAAACGAUGAUAACUAGGUGUCGGCCGAAUCUGGUCGGUGCCACAGCGAAAGCGUUAAG
Molecule: ribosomal RNA, 851 nt
Filed under: uncultured Arcicella sp.
Lineage: Bacteria; Pseudomonadati; Bacteroidota; Cytophagia; Cytophagales; Flectobacillaceae
Description: bacterial SSU rRNA
Rfam family: Bacterial small subunit ribosomal RNA
Source: RNAcentral